GGUACAUUACGUCUCCUGAGUUUAGAAGAAAACUGUUCGACGUUGGGGUCUUUGGGAUUACAUUCGCUUGGAAAUCUUGCAUUACAGCGUUGAGGUGGAAGUUGCUUAGGGAGCUUCGACCUGACUUUUGAGGUUCGUGUAUCCUUUCGUGAGGUUUUCGGCAUCGCCAAUCUUCGUUCUUCGCUUUGACGGAAUUUUGGGUAAUCUGCAUCAAGCUACUUUUCAGGAAACCAUAUCUCCCACGAUGCAACGAAAUUACUAUGGUCAGAAUCCCAUUGCUUUAACACUGGAUUACUCAAGGAUCGUUUUUAUGAAUCUCCCCCUGGAGCAAAUUCCUGCGGCUUUAUCUUUCUUCACAGGGUUAUGGAGCAAAAGCGGAUGUUGGUAUGACAGCUUUGUAGUGGUACUGGACUAGUCAUCGUUAAGUGGUACGGUCACCUAUGAGAAUGACUACUUAUAUUUAUAUAAAUAAAGGUGA
Macrobrachium nipponense is the source of this 478-nucleotide long non-coding RNA. RefSeq lists it as uncharacterized. The transcript is spliced from 3 exons. NCBI's taxonomy places the organism in Eukaryota, Metazoa, Arthropoda, Malacostraca, Decapoda, Palaemonidae. The record is from RefSeq and is a predicted model, not a curated record.